CCUACGGGAGGCAGCAGUGAGGAAUAUUGGUCAAUGGGCGCGAGCCUGAACCAGCCAAGUCGCGUGAGGGAAGACGGCCCUACGGGUUGUAAACCUCUUUUGCCGGGGAGCAACGGGCGCCACGUGUGGCGCCACUGAGAGUACCCGGAGAAAAAGCAUCGGCUAACUCCGUGCCAGCAGCCGCGGUAAUACGGAGGAUGCGAGCGUUAUCCGGAUUUAUUGGGUUUAAAGGGUGCGUAGGCGGAGCGUUAAGUCAGUGGUCAAAUUGAGGGGCUCAACCCCUUCCCGCCAUUGAAACUGGCGCUCUUGAGUGGAAGAGAAGUAUGCGGAAGGCGUGGUGUAGCGGUGAAAUGCGUAGAUAUACGGAGGAACACCAGUGGCGAAGGCGGCCUGCUGGACUGCAACUGACGUUGAGGCCCGAAAGCGUGGGGAGCAAACAGGAUUAGAUACCCUGGUAGUC
RNAcentral lists this ribosomal RNA (460 nucleotides) under uncultured bacterium. Its description in RNAcentral is "partial 16S ribosomal RNA". It matches the Rfam family "Bacterial small subunit ribosomal RNA", at positions 338 to 795 of the family's 1533-position model. The record is from RNAcentral.